RNAcentral lists this ribosomal RNA (253 nucleotides) under uncultured bacterium. RNAcentral describes it as "partial 16S ribosomal RNA". It matches the Rfam family "Bacterial small subunit ribosomal RNA", at positions 524 to 776 of the family's 1533-position model. The record is from RNAcentral.
UACGUAGGGUGCGAGCGUUGUCCGGAAUUAUUGGGCGUAAAGAGCGUGUAGGCGGUCUGUCGCGUCUGCUGUGAAAAUCCGGGGCUCAACCCCGGACUUGCAGUGGGUACGGGCAGACUAGAGUGUGGUAGGGGAGACUGGAAUUCCUGGUGUAGCGGUGAAAUGCGCAGAUAUCAGGAGGAACACCGAUGGCGAAGGCGGCAUCCUGGACCAAUACUGACGCUGAGGCGCGAAAGCUAGGGGAGCAAACGGG